CGACGAAAAGAAAGAGAGCCCGACACAAUCACAAGCGCAUGCGCCAGUUGGCGUCCUCGAAAUUUUUCGAGAGGGCCACAUUUCUUUUUUAUUUUAUCGUGCGAGCAACCGAGACGGCGCCUACGCGGGGCGCACUCGGGCUGUCCCCCGCGUGACCCAAAAUGUUCGCUCCCAAAUGGGGCUGGGGAUGCCCGCGGCGCACACUAGAAAAGCGAGGCGCGUGCGCACGGGCGACGACCAGGCAUACACUGUGCACGCCAGCAGCCAAUAGCAAAAAAAAGGGAAAAAAGAGGCGCCGCCAGAGAUUGCCGACGCAUACGCAAAGGCGCCGAUCGAGGCGGACAAGAGGUCGCAGCGCGGGCGGAUAGGCGAGCGCAGGUUGUGCCUGUCAAAUUUUUUAUGCCCGCGGCCAAAGGUGUGCCAAUACCAGGCAUACGAAACAAAAAAAUAUUAAAAAAAG
RNAcentral lists this long non-coding RNA (460 nucleotides) under Pandoravirus salinus. RNAcentral describes it as "putative ncRNA". The record is from RNAcentral.